Molecule: long non-coding RNA, 433 nt
Organism: Formica exsecta
Lineage: Eukaryota; Metazoa; Arthropoda; Insecta; Hymenoptera; Formicidae
Exons: 3
Source: RefSeq, a predicted model, not a curated record
AGCUGGUCACAGACAAUUACAUCAAACGAUUACAUCCUUCUCUGAAACUAACUAAGAGAUAUUACCCACAUGUGCGUAACAGACUUUAUUAAAUAGAGAUGUCGUCGUGGUAACGUUAAGUUAUUGCCCACUGGCCUACAAUUUGGAACUGCUGCUGGUGUCACGAGCUGCUGCUGCUGGUGGUCCUAGACAUCAAACGAUUACAUCCUUCUCUGAAACUAACUAAGAGAUAUUACCCACAUGUGCGUAACAGACUUUAAUAAAUAGAGGUGUCGUCGUGGUAACGUUAAGUUAUUGCCCACUGGCCUACAAUUUGGAACUGCUGCUGCUGGUGGUCCUAGACAUCAAACGAUUACAUCCUUCUCUGAAACUAACCAAGAGAUAUUACCCACCUGUGCGUAACAUGUAUGGUUUCUUUGUAGUAAAAACUUAU